GGAAGAUUAAACUAAGUCGGUCUACUGGUUGCUGUCUUGAAAACAGUUGGGUGUAACAGCCGUGUGAGUCGAGUCUCACAUCUUCCGCCA
RNAcentral lists this transfer RNA (90 nucleotides) under Acinetobacter baumannii. RNAcentral describes it as "tRNA-Ser". The record is from RNAcentral. Lineage: Bacteria; Pseudomonadati; Pseudomonadota; Gammaproteobacteria; Moraxellales; Moraxellaceae.